CUUGGUCAUUUAGAGGAAGUAAAAGUCGUAACAAGGUCUCCGUUGGUGAACCAGCGGAGGGAUCAUUACCGAGUACUAUAACUCAUAACCCUUUGUGAACCUUUAUACCUGUUGCUUCGGCGGCGCGCCUCCCGGGGCGUGCCCGCCGGCAUUAUCAGAAUCUCUGUUCGAACCCGACGAUACAUCUGAGUGUUCUAAGCGAACUGUUAAAACUUUCAACAACGGAUCUCUUGGCUCCAGCAUCGAUGAAGAACGCAGCGAAACGCGAUAUGUAAUGUGAAUUGCAGAAUUCGGUGAAUCAUCGAAUCUUUGAACGCACAUGGCGCCUUCCAGUAUCCUGGGAGGCAUGCCUGUCCGAGCGUCGUUUCAACCCUCGAGCCCCCGUGGCCCGGCGUUGGGGAUCUGCCCAGGCAGUCCCCGAAAACCAGUGGCGGACCCGUUGGGCCCUUCCUUUGCGUAGUAACAUCUGCCUCGCAUCGGGAGCCUGCGGGCUAUCCGGCCUCUAAACCCCCCUCAAGCCCGCUCCGGCGGCACCAAGGUUGACCUCGGAUCAGGUAGGAAUACCCGCUGAACUUAAGCAUAUCAAUAAGCGGAGGAAAAGAAACCAACAGGGAUUGCCUCAGUAACGGCGAGUGAAGCGGCAACAGCUCAAAUUUGAAAUCUGGCUCCUUCGGGGCCCGAGUUGUAAUUUGCAGAGGAUGCUUCGGGUACGGGUUCCUUCCGAGUUCCCUGGAACGGGACGCCAUAGAGGGUGAGAGCCCCGUCUGGUAGGACACCCAGCCCGUGUGAAGCUCCCUCGACGAGUCGAGUUGUUUGGGAAU
Molecule: small RNA, 821 nt
Filed under: uncultured Verticillium
Lineage: Eukaryota; Fungi; Ascomycota; Sordariomycetes; Hypocreales
Description: eukaryotic LSU rRNA
Rfam family: Eukaryotic large subunit ribosomal RNA (bases 541-821)
Source: RNAcentral